This 378-nucleotide unclassified non-coding RNA is filed under the name uncultured Oligoflexales bacterium. Its description in RNAcentral is "contains 16S-23S intergenic spacer region". The record is from RNAcentral. Lineage: Bacteria; Pseudomonadati; Bdellovibrionota; Oligoflexia; Oligoflexales.
UCCGGUUUAACACCGGCAGUCUCCAUAGAGUGCCCAACUAAAUGAUGGCAACUAGGGAUAAGGGUUGCGCUCGUUAAGGGACUUAACCCGACAUCUCACGAUACGAGCUGACGACAGCCAUGCAGCACCUAAACCACCGGUCUCUUGCGAGAAGGCUGUAUCUCUACAGCUGUCCGAUGUUGUCUAACCCAGGUAAGGUUUUUCGCGUUGCAUCGAAUUAAACCACAUGCUCCACCGCUUGUGCGGGCCCCCGUCAAUUCCUUUGAGUUUUAACCUUGCGGCCGUACUUCCCAGGCGGGGUACUUAAUGCGUUAGCGUCGGCACUGCAGGGGUCAAUUCCCGCAACACCUAGUACCCAUCGUUUACAGCGUGGACUAC